This 468-nucleotide ribosomal RNA is filed under the name uncultured bacterium. RNAcentral describes it as "partial 16S ribosomal RNA". It matches the Rfam family "Bacterial small subunit ribosomal RNA", at positions 28 to 507 of the family's 1533-position model. The record is from RNAcentral.
GACGAACGCUGGCGGCGUGCUUAACACAUGCAAGUCGAACGGAAAGGCCCUGCUUUUGUGGGGUGCUCGAGUGGCGAACGGGUGAGUAACACGUGAGUAACCUGCCCUUGACUUUUGGAUAACUUCAGGAAACUGGGGCUAAUACCGGAUAGGAGCUCCUGCUGCAUGGUGGGGGUUGGAAAGUUUCGGCGGUUGGGGAUGUACUCGCGGCUUAUCAGCUUGUUGGUGGGGUAGUGGCUUACCAAGGCUUUGACGGGUAGCCGGCCUGAGAGGGUUACCGGCCACAUUGGGACUGAGAUACGGCCCAGACUCCUACGGGAGGCAGCAGUGGGGAAUAUUGCACAAUGGGCGGAAGCCUGAUGCAGCAAAGCCGCGUGCGGGAUGACGGCCUUCGGGUUGUAAACCGCUUUCGCCUGUGACGAAGCGUGAGUGACGGUAAUGGGUAAAGAAGCACCGGCUAACUACGUG